GAGGACUACUGAAUGACAACUUUAUGAAUAAUUGGCAAAACGCAGAGCUGUUUUUAUUGUUUUAACACUGAUGUGGUUCUCAGCAAUAUCACAUAUCAGGUUUUGUCUUUUUUCUCAGUUCUACAUUUUGUACAUUGAACUCCCAGAAGAACUGCAGACAACAGGACUUGCAAAAAAGUACAAGUUCUGGGACUUUCAUGUGUCAAUUGAGUAGGAUUCCCCGAUUCUUUCACAGGGGAAGUCCUUUCUUCAGAAUACGAUUCAUGGAAAAAAGUUGCAUGUCCAUAAAAAGUCGGUUUGCUUUGAUGGAACCAUACUGGUUGAAGCCUUCCAGGGGAAUCUUGACAUUGGUGAGGAACUGUUGAAAUUCAAAUUCGCCAAAGUCAAUCUUCCAGGAAAAAGGGAGAACUCACUUCCCUCAGUAAACCUGCAAGAGAGCACAAGACUGUGCCCCACCAGAAAUGUCCCAGGAGAGUUGGACACGCUGGACUCUCCACUGGGAUGCAUGCCCAAAUUGCGACCAAUAUUCCCAGAACAGAAACCUCAAAUUAUUAAGUUUUGAGGCACACAGACAAUAAUAUAGAUUUACCUCUCUUUGUGAAAGUGCUUAAAGGGAUAGUCGACGCAAAUAUUAAAAUUGCCAUCAUUUACUUACCCUCAUGUUGUUCCAAACCUGUAUGCAUUUUUUGGAACACAAAGGAAGAUUUUGAAGAAUGUUGGUAAUGUUGUUUUUUGUCCAUACAAUGUAAAGUCAAUGGGUUCAAAAUAUCUUAGGUGUGUGUGUGUGUGUGUGUAUGUAUGUAUUCUACAACAACAACAACAAAAAAACAGGUUUGGACCAAUAUGAAGGUGAGUAAAUUAUGACAGAAUUUACAUUUUUGGGUGAAAUAUCCCUUAAAGGAUAACAAUUACAUUCACUUUAAUCAUGGCAUCACCAUGAAUCAUGGCAUCAUCGUCAUGAAGAUCUCUUGAUGAAUCUUCUGAUUUGUGAAAAACACUGUUAACACCCAACUGGCACAUUUCCCACCUAAUAUUCAGGGGGAUUUAGAUCCUGUCGGAAUUCGGAAAGGAAAAGAAUAUACCCCAUCUUUUGUUAUUAAUGUCAAAGGGUGUGCAUUAAAUCUGUGACUGUCUCUGCUGUUUUGCAUACCCAGAGGAUGAGAGAGGUGAUCAAUGAUAAGGACAUGGAGAUAAAGAAACUAAAAGAAGAAGGAAGUGCCAUCCAGCAGCAAGCAUCUCUCCUGGGGCAGCAGCUUGAGGAGGCCAAAUUAGAGCUCCAGGUGCCCAGAGCUGUUUCACACAUAGGGGUGUUGAUUGUUCAGUGUGUUUUAGGCCAUGACGCAGAUUAAUGACAUCCACCUUAUUUUAUUAACUUAAAAAAUGCGCACCUGUCUUGAAUGUCCGACGUUUCUGGUUUCAUCUGUUUCCAUUUAUUUUUUUCACUGUGUAACAUAGCUCAUUUAUGCUGCUUGAUACUGCAAAGUGGUAUUUCUUAUCGUAUAGUAUUAAUGUAUUAUUUUAACUAGUAACACACUGGUUUGUAGUGCAAAUAGUUCUACGGUUUGCUACACUUUGUUGUUCUUCUAGUUAUUAAAGGGAUACUCCACCCCAAAA
Molecule: long non-coding RNA, 1614 nt
Organism: Cyprinus carpio (common carp)
Lineage: Eukaryota; Metazoa; Chordata; Actinopteri; Cypriniformes; Cyprinidae
Exons: 2
Source: RefSeq, a predicted model, not a curated record